Molecule: non-coding RNA, 193 nt
Filed under: bovine gut metagenome
Source: RNAcentral
AGAACUGAAUACAUGAAUUGUCGAAUGAGGGAGUAACGUCCUGAAAGGCAUCCUUAAUACUCCGACGUGCGUGGAAGUUGGCAAAGCGGAAGCGUACGAAGCUCGGUGAAGUCGGCAGAAUGGCGCCGUAGCGUAUUAUCGUCGAAACCUGUCCAGAGGUGGGCGGCGCGCCAGAUAUGCCGGAGGUCUAAAA